RNAcentral lists this ribosomal RNA (447 nucleotides) under uncultured bacterium. Its description in RNAcentral is "partial 16S ribosomal RNA". It matches the Rfam family "Bacterial small subunit ribosomal RNA", at positions 29 to 523 of the family's 1533-position model. The record is from RNAcentral.
AACGAACGCUGGCGGCAGGCUUAACACAUGCAAGUCGAGCGCCCCGCAAGGGGAGCGGCAGACGGGUGAGUAAAGCGUGGGAAUCUACCUUUUGCUACGGAAUAACGCAGGGAAACUUGUGCGAAUACCGUAUGUGCUCUUCGGGGGAAAGAUUUAUCGGCAAAGGAUGAGCCCGCGUUGGAUUAGCUAGUUGGUGGGGUAAAAGCCUACCAAGGCGACGAUCUAUAGCUGGUCUGAGAGGAUGAUCAGCCACAUUGGGACUGAGACACGGCCCAAACUCCUACGGGAGGCAGCAGUGGGGAAUAUUGGACAAUGGGCGCAAGCCUGAUCCAGCCAUGCCGCGUGAGUGAUGAAGGCCUUAGGGUUGUAAAGCUCUUUCACCGGUGAAGAUAAUGACGGUAACCGGAGAAGAAGCCCCGGCUAACUUCGUGCCAGCAGCCGCCGUAA